CAGCCGCCGCGGUAAUACCAGCACCUCGAGUGGUCAGGAGGUUUAUUGGGCCUAAAGCAUCCGUAGCCGGUUGCAUAAGUUUUCGGUUAAAUCUAUGCGCUUAACGUAUAGGCCGCCGAAAAUACUGUGCAGCUAGGGAGUGGGAGAGGUACACGGUACUCGAUAGGAAGGGGUAAAAUCCUUUGAUCUAUUGAUGACCACCUGUGGCGAAGGCGGUGUACCAGAACACGUUCGACGGUGAGGGAUGAAAGCUGGGGGAGCAAACCGGAUUAGAUACCCGUGUAGUCCCUGUCUCUUAUAC
This 301-nucleotide ribosomal RNA is filed under the name uncultured bacterium. RNAcentral's name for it is "partial 16S ribosomal RNA". It matches the Rfam family "Archaeal small subunit ribosomal RNA", at positions 459 to 760 of the family's 1478-position model. The record is from RNAcentral.